RNAcentral lists this ribosomal RNA (663 nucleotides) under Lactobacillus crispatus. RNAcentral's name for it is "bacterial SSU rRNA". It matches the Rfam family "Bacterial small subunit ribosomal RNA", at positions 21 to 651 of the family's 1533-position model. The record is from RNAcentral. Lineage: Bacteria; Bacillati; Bacillota; Bacilli; Lactobacillales; Lactobacillaceae.
GGCUCAGGACGAACGCUGGCGGCGUGCUUAAUACAUGCAAGUCGAGCGAGCGGAACUAACAGAUUUACUUCGGUAAUGACGUUAGGAAAGCGAGCGGCGGAUGGGUGAGUAACACGUGGGGAACCUGCCCCAUAGUCUGGGAUACCACUUGGAAACAGGUGCUAAUACCGGAUAAGAAAGCAGAUCGCAUGAUCAGCUUUUAAAAGGCGGCGUAAGCUGUCGCUAUGGGAUGGCCCCGCGGUGCAUUAGCUAGUUGGUAAGGUAAAGGCUUACCAAGGCGAUGAUGCAUAGCCGAGUUGAGAGACUGAUCGGCCACAUUGGGACUGAGACACGGCCCAAACUCCUACGGGAGGCAGCAGUAGGGAAUCUUCCACAAUGGACGCAAGUCUGAUGGAGCAACGCCGCGUGAGUGAAGAAGGUUUUCGGAUCGUAAAGCUCUGUUGUUGGUGAAGAAGGAUAGAGGUAGUAACUGGCCUUUAUUUGACGGUAAUCAACCAGAAAGUCACGGCUAACUACGUGCCAGCAGCCGCGGUAAUACGUAGGUGGCAAGCGUUGUCCGGAUUUAUUGGGCGUAAAGCGAGCGCAGGCGGAAGAAUAAGUCUGAUGUGAAAGCCCUCGGCUUAACCGAGGAACUGCAUCGGAAACUGUUUUUCUUGAGUGCAG